Molecule: long non-coding RNA, 822 nt
Organism: Sciurus carolinensis (gray squirrel)
Lineage: Eukaryota; Metazoa; Chordata; Mammalia; Rodentia; Sciuridae
Exons: 4
Source: RefSeq, a predicted model, not a curated record
GCCAUACAUACACCGAACUGUAACUCGCGCCUCCAACGCUCACGGCCGCGCGUGCCCGCUCGUCCGCUUGCUAGCUCGCCCGCGCGCCGGCGCCCCCUCCCCGCCACGUGACUCGCGGCCGGGCAAGAGGCGCGCUGCGCCCCCGCUCUGCGGCGCUUCGCUGGCCGCCGCGCUCCUUCCGCGACUUGCGGCACUGGUGCGCACCUCCGCGCGCCCGGGACCCCAGCCGGCUUCUCUCCUGGCUGCUGCCUGAGAAAAGAGAAAAGCCCCCAAGGGCCCGAUCCUGAGUGUGGGGGGCGAUGGGCGCGCGGAGUAGCCUGGAAGCGACUGGAAGAGGCUGCGCAGCGUUUGAAUGGACGCGGCGCAGCUCGGACCCGGGAAGACGCCCGGGCUGUGUACCCGCGUGCGUCUGGCUCCCAUGCGGGCCUGGCACUGGAGUGCAGUGACCUCGGGGAAGUGAACCCCCGGGGCCUGUUUCCUCUGUAAAAUGGCAACAGAGAACCGACUUAGGCUCGUAGGAAGUUUUGAUGAGAGAAUUUAUGAAUCUUUCUCACCACGCUGCCUGGGCUGUGGCAUUUGAUGAAUGGUGGGUAUACAGUCAAGUCGGUCAGGAGAGCAGCAGAAAAAUUUUCACUAAGAAUUCAGCAUGUUACUAGAAGACAGUAUGGAAUCCAUGCCAAGUACUGCUUAUGAGCUGUUUUGCUUUUUACAUUUGAUAAAUGCAGAGAAGAUUGGAAGAUACCCAAAAAUAAAGGCAUUCAGAUGGAAGCACUCAUAGGUGAAGACUAAGAAUGUAUCACUAUGCUGUGGCACCCACCUGUA